GAGCGUUAGAGAUGGAGACUAACGUCUUCCAAGGGAGAUUGCGUCUCCACUUUCACCCUGGUACUGAGAGGUUGAGCACAAAAUUGGUAACCAAUGCUGCGCUUCCAGCAAAUUUUCCCACCAGCACCCAAUCCUGGGAUAUUUAUUCUCUUUGUCUCACAUCCUACAGGAACGCAGUCGCGGGGUAUAUCCCCCUGAAAACCAUUGGCCUGGGGUACAUCAUCUAAAGAUCCUAGGAUUGCUGCAGGUCAGCAGUCUCCACUGGAAAAAAAGAUCUUGGUAAGUAAAUUAUCUUCACAUCAUACAGUUUGGAACUACACAGAGAAGGAAUCUUAGGUUUAAAAUCCUUCUGCCCAAGUGACACAUUCAGGUAGUAUGUCUACACUGGCAAAUGUUACCCAGCUAUAUCCACAGUUGCAAAACAAAGUAUCAUUUUUGGAAACUUCCAACACCAUACAUUUUUAAACCUAGUUACUGAUUUGUGGUGGUGAGUACUUAAUACUUUCAGAGCUCCCAGGCUCACCUGGGAGUGAUGGGAAUAAAAUAACAACUAAGCUAAAGUAAAGAGCAUGUAGCUUUUCCUGGUGUCAUUAGGGAGGGUGGGCUUGGCUCCUGUUUAAAUGUGUUCAAAGGAAAAAGAUGAUCACAUUAUAAAUUUCUGACUUCACUUUGACAGAAUCUAGGUGGUGUGCAUACAACAGCAGCAAGACAGUUGAUAAUGCAGAAAUAUCAGGAGGAGUGUGAAAUACUCUGUAGGGAGCAAGCUGUUUCUCUUGACUACUGGCUUGCCAAAGCAGAGUCUUAUUAUAAUAAAAUAAUAGUGGAAAUGAUGAAAGAAGAGACAGGCAAUGAAAUCUAGAAAAAAA
Molecule: long non-coding RNA, 866 nt
Organism: Homo sapiens (human)
Lineage: Eukaryota; Metazoa; Chordata; Mammalia; Primates; Hominidae
Gene: POLR1HASP
Product: POLR1H antisense, pseudogene
Source: Ensembl